UAGCCAUUUGGAAGGAUCAGGUGAUGC
This 27-nucleotide non-coding RNA is filed under the name Rattus norvegicus (Norway rat). Lineage: Eukaryota; Metazoa; Chordata; Mammalia; Rodentia; Muridae. The record is from RNAcentral.